RNAcentral lists this ribosomal RNA (1361 nucleotides) under uncultured bacterium. RNAcentral describes it as "bacterial SSU rRNA". It matches the Rfam family "Bacterial small subunit ribosomal RNA", at positions 28 to 1381 of the family's 1533-position model. The record is from RNAcentral.
AUUGAACGCUGGCGGCAGGCCUAACACAUGCAAGUCGAGCGGUAGCACAGAGAGCUUGCUCUCGGGUGACGAGCGGCGGACGGGUGAGUAAUGUCUGGGAAACUGCCUGAUGGAGGGGGAUAACUACUGGAAACGGUAGCUAAUACCGCAUAACGUCGCAAGACCAAAGUGGGGGACCUUCGGGCCUCAUGCCAUCAGAUGUGCCCAGAUGGGAUUAGCUAGUAGGUGGGGUAACGGCUCACCUAGGCGACGAUCCCUAGCUGGUCUGAGAGGAUGACCAGCCACACUGGAACUGAGACACGGUCCAGACUCCUACGGGAGGCAGCAGUGGGGAAUAUUGCACAAUGGGCGCAAGCCUGAUGCAGCCAUGCCGCGUGUGUGAAGAAGGCCUUCGGGUUGUAAAGCACUUUCAGCGGGGAGGAAGGCGUUAAGGUUAAUAACCUUGGCGAUUGACGUUACCCGCAGAAGAAGCACCGGCUAACUCCGUGCCAGCAGCCGCGGUAAUACGGAGGGUGCAAGCGUUAAUCGGAAUUACUGGGCGUAAAGCGCACGCAGGCGGUCUGUCAAGUCGGAUGUGAAAUCCCCGGGCUCAACCUGGGAACUGCAUUCGAAACUGGCAGGCUAGAGUCUUGUAGAGGGGGGUAGAAUUCCAGGUGUAGCGGUGAAAUGCGUAGAGAUCUGGAGGAAUACCGGUGGCGAAGGCGGCCCCCUGGACAAAGACUGACGCUCAGGUGCGAAAGCGUGGGGAGCAAACAGGAUUAGAUACCCUGGUAGUCCACGCCGUAAACGAUGUCGAUUUGGAGGUUGUGCCCUUGAGGCGUGGCUUCCGGAGCUAACGCGUUAAAUCGACCGCCUGGGGAGUACGGCCGCAAGGUUAAAACUCAAAUGAAUUGACGGGGGCCCGCACAAGCGGUGGAGCAUGUGGUUUAAUUCGAUGCAACGCGAAGAACCUUACCUGGUCUUGACAUCCACAGAACUUUCCAGAGAUGGAUUGGUGCCUUCGGGAACUGUGAGACAGGUGCUGCAUGGCUGUCGUCAGCUCGUGUUGUGAAAUGUUGGGUUAAGUCCCGCAACGAGCGCAACCCUUAUCCUUUGUUGCCAGCGGUUAGGCCGGGAACUCAAAGGAGACUGCCAGUGAUAAACUGGGGGAAGGUGGGGAUGACGUCAAGUCAUCAUGGCCCUUACGACCAGGGCUACACACGUGCUACAAUGGCAUAUACAAAGAGAAGCGACCUCGCGAGAGCAAGCGGACCUCAUAAAGUAUGUCGUAGUCCGGAUUGGAGUCUGCAACUCGACUCCAUGAAGUCGGAAUCGCUAGUAAUCGUAGAUCAGAAUGCUACGGUGAAUACGUUCCCGGGCCU